This 2090-nucleotide long non-coding RNA is filed under the name Homo sapiens (human). RNAcentral's name for it is "HSALNT0201407". The record is from RNAcentral. Lineage: Eukaryota; Metazoa; Chordata; Mammalia; Primates; Hominidae.
GGGGGUUGGGGGUUUGCAAAGGGAGUAGCCUCCAGUCCUUCUGUUACUUAGGUGUGGAAAGUUGGGGUUUUCCUUUUGAUUUAGUUCUACGAAGUCAGAGUGAAUCAGCCUUAGGUUCCCUGCCUCCAGACCCUAUUCUCCUGCCUCACAAGAGUUGAAGAAAGACCACCAGCUAUUUGGAAGAAUGCGAUUCAGGUACUUCCAGUCAGAUACAUCCGUGCAAGACUUGGAUAGAGAAGUAACAUAAGGAGGCAGCUGUGGGAAGACUGACCAUCUGCUUUGUGCCUGGAUACUAGCAGGAAGGAAGAGGAGGAGCAAGAAUGGAAGGCUUGUACCAACAAGUUCUUAUCCUUUUUAAUGAGGAAAACAAGAGCAUCCCUAUUCUGCUCUUAUCUCACCGAGUUCCAUGGCCAUUCUGAGCUGCAGUGGAGUCUUGGGAGGACAUUUGGCUGGAUUCAAAGAACUUUGAAGCCCAAGGGGAUGGAGGAACCACGGGAUGGAAGGUGCCUGAAUCCUGAAUGACUGUGUGGACAGUUUAUAAACAUUUGGGCAGUGCCAUCUCUAUCACAUAAAUUUAUUUUGUCUUCUUUUAUUUCUUCUUACCUUCCCAUGAUUUUCCUGGGUGAAUGGCUAAUUAGAAGAGUAAGAUGAGGUAGAGGGUGGAAUAGAGAGAUUGUAAAUUCUGCUUUGGGGAUAUUAAUCUGAGUUGUGUGUGAGAUGUUCAAGUGAAGAUGUCAAGCAAAAAUUUAGAUAUUUGCACCCCAGUGUGGUGGCUCACACCUGUAAUACCAGUACUUUGAGAGGCUGAGGCGGGUGGAUCACUAGAGGUCAGGAGUUGGACACCAUCCUGACAAACAUGUUGAAACCCUGUCUCCACUAAAAAUACAAAAAUUAGCCGGGCGUGGUUAUGGGUGCCUGUAAUCCCAGCUACUUGGGAGGCUGAGGCAGGAGAAUCGCUUGAACCUAGGAGGCAGAGGUUGCAGUGAGCCAAGAUCAUGCCAUUGCACUCCAGCCUGGGCAAUAAGAGCAAAACUUGUCUCAAAAAAAAUUUAGAUAUUUGCCUAUGGAUUUCAGAGGAGAAAUGCGGCAAGAGCAAAAGUUUCAGAGUCAAUAACCUAAUACUUGCAUUUAGCUCCAAAAGAAUUGUUGAAAUUAUAUAGGGAAAGAGGGUAGAGAAUAAAGAAGUGCCUGAAGUUGAGACUUAAGAUUCCUCAACAUUUAGAGUUUGAGUAGGAAUGGAGUUCAAGAAAGAGCAGAAGGAAAAGUAGAAGGGAUAUCAGGAGAGCAUGAGGUCAGAGAAGCCAAGAGAGAAAUAUUGUGCAAGAUGGAAGAUGUGGCCACCAUUAUGAGUUCUACUGACUGGUAAAGUAACCGUGGGAGCCAUCAGUGGCCUUGACAAGAGACAUUUCCUGGGAUGAUGGUUGGAACCUAGACUAGAGCAGAUUGAGGAGACAACCAGUAGUAAGGCUACAGAGAAAAGGGAACACUUACACACUGUUGGUGGGAAUGUAAAUUGGUUCAUCCACUGUGGAAAACAGUUUGGAGAUUUCUCAAAGAACUUAAAACAGAACUACCAUUUGACUCAGCAAUCCCAUUACUGGGUAUAUAUCCAAAGAAAAUAAAUCAUCCUAACAAAAAGACGCAUUUUCUCAUAUGUUCAUCACAAUACUAUUCACAAUACCAAAGACAUAGAAUCAACCUAAUACUCAUCAACAGUGGAUUGGAAAAAGAAAAUGUAGUAAUAUAUACCAUGAAGUACCACAGAGCCAUAAAAAAGAAUGAAAUCAUGUCCUUUGCAGCAACAUGGAUAGAGCUGGAGGCCAUUAUCCUAAGUGAAUUAUGCAGGAGCAGAACACCAACUAUCACAUAUUCUCAUUUAUAAGGGGGAGCUAAACAUUAGGUUCUCAUAGACAUAAAGAUGGCAAUAAUAGACACUGAAGACUACUGGAGGGAGGGGGUGAAAGGGGGAAGAGUUGAAAAACUAACUGUUGGGUACUAUACUCUGUACUGGGCGAUGGGAUCAUCUGUAUCCUAAACUUCAACAUCAUGCAAUAUAACCUAAUAACAAAUCUGCACUCCCUGAACCUAAA